This 80-nucleotide ribosomal RNA is filed under the name Morus rubra (red mulberry). RNAcentral describes it as "5.8S ribosomal RNA". The stretch from base 10 to 80 matches the Rfam family "5.8S ribosomal RNA", at positions 1 to 71 of the family's 154-position model. Rfam says of the family: 5.8S ribosomal RNA (5.8S rRNA) is a component of the large subunit of the eukaryotic ribosome. It is transcribed by RNA polymerase I as part of the 45S precursor that also contains 18S and 28S rRNA. Lineage: Eukaryota; Viridiplantae; Streptophyta; Magnoliopsida; Rosales; Moraceae. The record is from RNAcentral.
GUCUAAAAUGACUCUCGGCAACGGAUAUCUCGGCUCUCGCAUCGAUGAAGAACGUAGUGAAAUGCGAUACUUGGUGUGAA